CCCAAAUGAUGAUUACCUCAAAUGUCCGACCUACAUAUUGGCUUCAGAGCCUGAAAAGGUGAACCCACUGGGGCCAUAUGUAGGAAAAGAUGGAUGCACUGUUCCAGCUGGAACUGUCUGACUGGGC
RNAcentral lists this small nucleolar RNA (127 nucleotides) under Leptobrachium leishanense (Leishan spiny toad). Its description in RNAcentral is "Small nucleolar RNA SNORD22 (ENSLLEG00000027873.1)". It matches the Rfam family "Small nucleolar RNA SNORD22". Rfam says of the family: U22 is a member of the C/D class of snoRNA which contain the C (UGAUGA) and D (CUGA) box motifs. The record is from Rfam by way of RNAcentral. Lineage: Eukaryota; Metazoa; Chordata; Amphibia; Anura; Megophryidae.